GGGCAAUUUCCUCGCUGGGCCAGUGUUUUAGGUCAACCUCCUUCUGCCAACGGUGGAUUGACGGGACUCAAAACCGAGACAGAGCAGGAUUCAACCAAGUAAGUAAAUGGGAUUGUACGGGCGGUUUUCAAGUCCCCCGUUUGACGUCAAGUGAAAAAAAAAAAAAAAAAAAAAAGGGAAAGUAUAAAAAACACACGUAGGGAAAGGCAAUAAAUGUGAUACCUUAAAAUAACAGUGGGAAAGCAAGUGGUGGACUUGUUGGGGAUGAGUAGCAAGAAUUCUCCACUCAAAUCAUUUAUUGAGUUGAGUUGAAGUGAGGAUUACCACGACAAGAAUUUAACCACCACCCCACUUCCCAAUUCCCCGUUCUAUAGCGUCCACCCUAGGUGUCAUAAAGAACGGGACGAAAACACUGUAAAAUAUGGGUUUUUCACACGGGAAGGAGAAAAGUCUUAAAGGGGAUGAGAAGUUAAUGUGUCAGAUGGAGCCAGGAAACUUAAUGUACCUGACUAAAUGGAAAAAGAAGUACGGUGCAGAUGGCAUGUUGAAAGUAAAGAAAAAACGUGGUGUUUUGGUUUUAAAAUAAGGGUUAAGUAAAAAACUGGUACCAGAAAACGGGAAGUUAUUGGUUGUUGUUAGAUUCUAACAUAAGUUUGAGAUGUCUCUUUUUAAAUGUGCACGGGUUUUUAAAACAGGUUCCUGAAGACGAGUUUAAAAUUAAUUAAAUUAAAACAUGAAAAAUGUUAAUAAAACAUUGGAAAAUUCCUGAAGCUUCAGUAAAAUUUGAUAAAAUAAUGAGGACAGACUGAAAAUUGGUGACUGAAACUUUGACUGACUACAAACCUGGCCAGAUGUUUUGUGUUUUUGUAAUGUGCUUUGUGUUUUGUAUUGUGUUGCAAUUCAUGUUGGUGUGAAAGUGUGUGAUUGGACAUAAAAUACCACUUGGUAUUUUAUGUCAUAUAAAUACAGAGUUUUUUAGUUUAAUUCGUGGUGCAAAAUUUCCAGUUUUUAGAACACCCUAUGUGUUAAACUGGACUAAAUUAUUAAAAUUAGGCAAUAACAGCAGUAAGUGUGACCUGCAGUGUAAAGAUUGGAAGGUUAUAGAAAGAUAGAAUCUUGAUAAAAAUAAAACAUCUGAACAAAUUGAAAAUAAAUUAUGGGUUCUAAGGUUAAAUAAAUAAAUAAAGAAAGAAAGAAUAAGCCAAGAAAAUUAGGUCACAGAGGAUUGUAGAAAUGAUGUAUUGGCAAAUUAAUAGAUAAAUACAUAAAUGAUUAGAACGAAGAAAUAGCUCAUUACAUGACUGA
Xiphophorus couchianus (Monterrey platyfish) is the source of this 1305-nucleotide long non-coding RNA. RefSeq lists it as uncharacterized. The record is from RefSeq and is a predicted model, not a curated record. The transcript is spliced from 4 exons. NCBI's taxonomy places the organism in Eukaryota, Metazoa, Chordata, Actinopteri, Cyprinodontiformes, Poeciliidae.